GAUGAACGCUGGCGGCGUGCCUAAUACAUGCCAGUCGAGCGAACGGACGAGAAGCUUGCUUCUCUGAUGUUAGCGGCGGACGGGUGAGUAACACGUGGAUAACCUACCUAUAAGACUGGGAUAACUUCGGGAAACCGGAGCUAAUACCGGAUAAUAUUUUGAACCGCAUGGUUCAAAAGUGAAAGACGGUCUUGCUGUCACUUAUAGAUGGAUCCGCGCUGCAUUAGCUAGUUGGUAAGGUAACGGCUUACCAAGGCAACGAUGCAUAGCCGACCUGAGAGGAUGAUCAGCCACACUGGAACUGAGACACGGUCCAGACUCCUACGGGAGGCAGCAGUAGGGAAUCUUCGGCAAUGGGCGAAAGCCUGACGGAGCAACGCCGCGUGAGUGAUGAAGGUCUUCGGAUCGUAAAACUCUGUUAUUAGGGAAGAACAUAUGUGUAAGUAACUGUGCACAUCUUGACGGUACCUAAUCAGAAAGCCACGGCUAACUACGUG
This 497-nucleotide ribosomal RNA is filed under the name uncultured bacterium. RNAcentral describes it as "partial 16S ribosomal RNA". It matches the Rfam family "Bacterial small subunit ribosomal RNA", at positions 28 to 507 of the family's 1533-position model. The record is from RNAcentral.